This 662-nucleotide ribosomal RNA is filed under the name uncultured bacterium. RNAcentral's name for it is "bacterial SSU rRNA". It matches the Rfam family "Bacterial small subunit ribosomal RNA", at positions 353 to 1014 of the family's 1533-position model. The record is from RNAcentral.
AGUGAGGAAUAUUGGACAAUGGGCGAGAGCCUGAUCCAGCCAUGCCGCGUGCAGGAAGACGGCCCUAUGGGUUGUAAACUGCUUUUAUACAGGAAGAAACACUCCCUCGUGAGGGAGCUUGACGGUACUGUAGGAAUAAGGAUCGGCUAACUCCGUGCCAGCAGCCGCGGUAAUACGGAGGAUCCAAGCGUUAUCCGGAGUCAUUGGGUUUAAAGGGUCCGUAGGCGGGACAAUAAGUCAGCGGUGAAAGUCUGUGGCUCAACCAUAGAAUUGCCAUUGAUACUGUUGUUCUUGAGUGUUUAUGAAGUGGUUAGAAUAUGUAGUGUAGCGGUGAAAUGCUUAGAUAUUACAUGGAAUACCGAUUGCGAAGGCAGAUCACUAAUAAAAUACUGACGCUGAUGGACGAAAGCGUAGGUAGCGAACAGGAUUAGAUACCCUGGUAGUCUACGCCGUAAACGAUGGUUACUAGCUGUUCGGAAGCAAUUCUGAGUGGCUAAGCGAAAGUGAUAAGUAACCCACCUGGGGAGUACGUUCGCAAGAAUGAAACUCAAAGGAAUUGACGGGGGCCCGCACAAGCGGUGGAGCAUGUGGUUUAAUUCGAUGAUACGCGAGGAACCUUACCAGGGCUUAAAUGUAGCUUGACCGAUUUGGAAACAGAUCUU